Molecule: ribosomal RNA, 554 nt
Filed under: uncultured archaeon
Lineage: Archaea
Description: bacterial SSU rRNA
Rfam family: Archaeal small subunit ribosomal RNA
Source: RNAcentral
CGGGGUGCACCAGGCGCGAAAACUUUACAAUGCUGGCAACAGCGAUAAGGGGACCUCGAGUGCCAGGAUACAAUCUUGGCUGUCGCGAUGCCUAAAAAGCAUUGCAUAGCAAGGGCCGGGCAAGACCGGUGCCAGCCGCCGCGGUAACACCGGCGGCUCGAGUGGUAACCGCUAUUAUUGGGUCUAAAGGGUCUGUAGCCGGCCGGAUAAGUCUCUUGGGAAAUCCAGCAGCUUAACUGUUGGGCUUUCAGGAGAUACUGUUCGGCUCGAGACCGGGAGAGGUGAGAGGUACUUCAGGGGUAGGGGUGAAAUCUUGUAAUCCUUGAAGGACCACCAGUGGCGAAGGCGUCUCACCAGAACGGAUCUGACGGCAAGGGACGAAAGCUAGGGGCACGAACCGGAUUAGAUACCCGGGUAGUCCUAGCCGUAAACGAUACUCGCUAGGUGUCAGCCACGGUGCGACCGUGGUUGGUGCCGUAGGGAAGCCGUGAAGCGAGCCACCUGGGAAGUACGGCCGCAAGGCUGAAACUUAAAGGAAUUGGCGGGGGAGCACA